This 2517-nucleotide long non-coding RNA is filed under the name Homo sapiens (human). Its description in RNAcentral is "non-protein coding lnc-KHDC3L-2:3". Lineage: Eukaryota; Metazoa; Chordata; Mammalia; Primates; Hominidae. The record is from RNAcentral.
AGAGCCCUCCUCCCGCCUGCUCUGUGUAGGAGACAGCCUGCGGAGCCCACUGCCGGCGCGCAGAGAGCCCAGCAGCUCUUGAGUCCAGGAAGCAAGGGUGGGAGGAGGGACGAGCCAGUGGCAAUGACCCAGACCCGGACGACCCCCAUUGCUGAGCCAGCGGAGCUGCUUGGGUCCACGAGGCUGGUGUCAGACCUAUUGGGAGACCCUCUGCGUUAGUGAGAAAAACGGCAAGAAAUGGGAGCACGCGGAAACCUCCAAGACUAGAGCCACCAGAUGCCACCGACAGCACGCAGCUGGACCAGCACGGGGGAGGGCCUUCGUGGGUCGAGAGCUCGCUCGGGAGAUAGUUGGUGCUUUUCUUUCAGGAGAAGAAUCCCUGGCGGAGUCUGACCGUUCUCUGGCGCACAGCCCCGGGGGUGGGCACAGCAGCCGCCCCUGCUGAAGGGACUGACGCCUCCGACGACCAGCAGCCAAGUUAAACGCACUGUUCCGUGAGCAGCUUUGUUGGAGACAGCGCGGUUCACAUUCUCUUCCAACGGAGCCGCUGACUGCGGAGCUGGGAGGGGACGUGACAGAACCCAGCCAUCCAACGUCCCCCCACCCCUCCCCAGCUGGGACCUCCGGCUGCUUCCGGGCUGCGCUGGGUGGCGUCAAGGAGCCGCCCCUCUGGGCCGCGUCCCUCCCUCACGCCCUGCACACUGGCCCUGUGUGGCCGGCGGGGCGCCUAAAAGGGCGGAAGGAUGCAGGGGCGGAGGGGGCUCGGGAUUGCACGCCUAGCUCAGACCCCCCAGCCAGGACCCCUCGCGCUGUUGGACACGCCAGCCUCCCGACCCUGCGGCUCCUACGGGAGGUGACAAGGACCCUGCCAACCUGGCCUGAAUGGCCCAGUUUGAUACAGAUCAGGUUUUCAAUGAAUGAGACCGCGGUGUGGUCUAGGCGGAGGGAUGAGAGGAGGGGAUUCUGCUGGGAUAAGUGGGGGCGGGGUAAGGAGGGGAUUCUUUUCCUGGGCUGAGGAGAACGCAGGGACAAAGUACACAGGGGUAGUUGAGUGAGCAGGUGAGGCCCUAGGCUGGUUCCCCACCUUCUCAGGAUCGGAGCCACUCACUUCCUGGUACUCUCUGCAGUCUCCUGGCGUUAAAUAACAUCCCUUUGCUGGAGACUCUGGAUUCACAUCCAUAAUCGCAGCCUCCCCUACUCAUCCCCUCACGCUUCCCAUGAACUAACCUUGAAGGACCCGACCAGAGCCCUGACCUCCGUCCCACACACCUGCUACAUGGAAGGUGUUCUCCACAUCAGUUCAAGGCAGUGUCACUCUUCAGGAUGUUCAGGCUCUAAACCUUGGACUCCUCCUCCAGAUUUCUCUCUCCUUCCUUCUCCUUGUCUCUCCCUUGCACUUACGGUUCACUUUUCCUUCGUAGCUUUGUAGCUCAUUCCCCCUUCCACUUUCCACACCACCUUCUGGUCUGUUAAUUAAAUAUUACCUGGUUUCCACUGACACCUUCCCUGGGUUCCCAAUUGAAAAUCACAACAUCAUCCUCCUCCUCUGCUUUUUUUCUCCAAAUUAUAUCCUCACCCAAUUAUGUGUUAUUCUCAUUAAUCUUGCUUAAUUAAUUAGCAGACAUUAUUAAUGCCUGUUUCCCCUAUCACCACCACUAGACUAUGAACUCCUAAGGACUCCUUCCUUCCACCACUGUUGUACUCGCUUCACCUAGAACUGCUUGGCACAUACAAUGUGCUCCAUAAAUAUUUGUUGAAUGAAAGACUAGACACAACUUAGGAUUCACUCCCCCAUGUGGCAUCCAUAAGCCCUGUAUGCAGGUAAAAUGUCAGUGGGUUGACUAAAUACUGGAAGUGGAAAAAACUUCACCUCUUUGGUUUGCAGUUGUCUAGGAUAUUUAGGCCAAUGGAAAAUCCAGUUUUCCUUAGAAUUAAGCCAGUGCCGCCAGACUUGCCAGUUUACCAUGCUUGUCUGACUGGUCCUCAGCAUGGGUCAUACGUGUCCAAUGAAUUCAAACAAAAUCUUGAGAAGACACGAACCUUGCCCUUCGGCUGGGCGCGGUGGCUCACGCCUGUAAUCCCAGCACUUUGGGAGGCCGAGGCAGGCGGAUCACGAGGUCAGGAGAUCGAGACCAUCCUGGCUAACAUGGUGAAACCCCGUCUCUACUAAAAAUACAAAAAAUUAGCCGAGCGUGGUGGCGGGCGCCUGUAGUCCCAGCUACUCAGGAGGCUGAGGCAGGAGAAUGGCGUGAACCCGGGAGGCGGAGCUUGCAGUGAGUGAGCCGAGAUCGCACCCCUGCACUCCAGCCUGGGCGACAGAGCGAGACUCCGUAAAAAAACAAAAAAAAAACCUUGCCCUUCAUUCCCCAUUUCUAUCAUAAUCUACACAGAGUUUUGAACAGGCAUUUUAAAAUCAACAAUAUAUUAUUUACAAUUUUGUUAGUAUACAUAACUCUAACUCACUGUUAAAAAUCACCUGUCUUUAUAUCCAUUAAAUGACACUUGCAUAUGCUCCAA